RNAcentral lists this ribosomal RNA (433 nucleotides) under uncultured bacterium. RNAcentral describes it as "partial 16S ribosomal RNA". It matches the Rfam family "Bacterial small subunit ribosomal RNA", at positions 29 to 507 of the family's 1533-position model. The record is from RNAcentral.
AACGAACGCUGGCGGCAUGCCUAACACAUGCAAGUCGAACGAGACCUGCGGGGCUUGUGGCGCACGGGGGGUUGAGGCGGGGGAAGCUGCGCGUAGGUUCGGAACAACGUAGCGGGGGGGGUGCUAAUAACAGGUAAGGUAUUCCUACCAAAGAUUUAUUGCCUCGGGAUGGGUCCGCGUUAGAUUAGCUGGUUUGUAGGGUAGAAGCCUAUCAAGGCGAUGAGCCAUAGCUGGGCUGAGAGGAUGAUCAGCCACACUGGGACUGAGACACGGACCAGACUCUUAGGGGUGGCAGGAGUGGUGAAUAUUGGACACUGGGCGAGAGCCUGAUCCAUCAAUGCCGUGUGAGUGAUGAAGGCCUUAGGGUUGUAAAGCUCUUUUACACGGGAUGAUAAUGACAGUACCGGGAGAAUAAGCUCCGGCUAACUCCGUG